RNAcentral lists this ribosomal RNA (411 nucleotides) under uncultured Rhizophagus. RNAcentral's name for it is "partial 28S ribosomal RNA". Lineage: Eukaryota; Fungi; Glomeromycota; Glomeromycetes; Glomerales; Glomeraceae. The record is from RNAcentral.
GAGAGUUAAACAGUACGUGAAAUUGUUGAAAGGGAAACGAUUGAAGCCAGUCGUACCUAUGGGUAAUCAGCCUUUUGGGUGUGAUUUUGUGGAGCGUGAGGAGUUAAACGCCCUCAUGCCUGCAUAUUCGUGCACUUUGGGUGUACUUGCCCGUGUGUAAGUUAACAUCAAUUUUGGUGGUCAUAAAAUGGCUGGAGGAAUGUAGCUUCGAUCUUGUAUUGAAGUGUUAUAGCCUUCGGUAGAUGUGACGAUCGGGAUUGAGGAUUGCAACGGAUACCCUUCGGGGCUACCUGUCUGAUCUCUGAUUGUUGCUCUGGUGCCGAAAGCUUGCUUACGGUUAUCAAAGUCGAUGUUCAAUAGGUUAGAAUGGGUUAAAUUCGUUAAGGAUGUUGACGUAAUGGCUUUAAACGA